RNAcentral lists this ribosomal RNA (429 nucleotides) under Bacteroidota bacterium. RNAcentral describes it as "Bacteroidetes bacterium partial 16S ribosomal RNA". It matches the Rfam family "Bacterial small subunit ribosomal RNA", at positions 355 to 776 of the family's 1533-position model. The record is from RNAcentral. Lineage: Bacteria; Pseudomonadati; Bacteroidota.
UAGGGAAUCUUCGGCAAUGGGGGGAACCCUGACCGAGCAACGCCGCGUGAGUGAAGAAGGUUUUCGGAUCGUAAAGCUCUGUUGUUAAGGAAGAACGAGUAUGAGAAUGGAAAGUUCAUACUGUGACGGUACUUAACCAGAAAGGGACGGCUAACUACGUGCCAGCAGCCGCGGUAAUACGUAGGUCCCGAGCGUUGUCCGGAUUUAUUGGGCGUAAAGCGAGCGCAGGCGGUUAGAUAAGUCUGAAGUUAAAGGCAGUGGCUCAACCAUUGUAGGCUUUGGAAACUGUUUAACUUGAGUGCAGAAGGGGAGAGUGGAAUUCCAUGUGUAGCGGUGAAAUGCGUAGAUAUAUGGAGGAACACCGGUGGCGAAAGCGGCUCUCUGGUCUGUAACUGACGCUGAGGCUCGAAAGCGUGGGGAGCGAACAGG